RNAcentral lists this ribosomal RNA (406 nucleotides) under uncultured bacterium. RNAcentral's name for it is "partial 16S ribosomal RNA". It matches the Rfam family "Bacterial small subunit ribosomal RNA", at positions 30 to 526 of the family's 1533-position model. The record is from RNAcentral.
AUUGAACGCUGGCGGCAUGCCUAACACAUGCAAGUCGAACGAGUGGCGGACGGGUGAGUAAUGUCUGGGAAACUGCCCGAUGGCGGGGGAUAACUACUGGAAACGGUAGCUAAUACCGCAUACCAUCGGAUGUGCCCAGAUGGGAUUAGCUAGUUGGUGGGGUAACGGCUCACCUAGGCGACGAUCCCUAGCUGGUCUGAGAGGAUGACCAGCCACACUGGAACUGAGACACGGUCCAGACUCCUACGGGAGGCAGCAGUGGGGAAUAUUGCACAAUGGGCGAAAGACUGAUGCAGCCAUGCCGCGUGUAUGAAGAAGGCCUUCGGGUUGUAAAGUACUUUCAGCGGGGAAGCGUUAUCUGCAGAAGAAGCACCGGCUAACUCCGUGCCAGCAGCCGCGGUAAUAC